RNA transcript from Vitis vinifera (wine grape), 290 nucleotides. RefSeq lists it as uncharacterized. The record is from RefSeq and is a predicted model, not a curated record. Lineage: Eukaryota; Viridiplantae; Streptophyta; Magnoliopsida; Vitales; Vitaceae. The transcript is spliced from 2 exons.
UCAUAUCAUUGUGUUUUCUUCUGCUACUUAAUCUCAUAUUCUUGUGAUUAAUUCUUCUUUUCCACACCCUUUGAAUUUUUACAGACAUGGAAUCAACAAAUUUCUUUGCUGGAGUAUCGCUACUUCUGCUGCCUGAAGAAAACUGCUUUUGUCAAUCAUCUGGACUACUUGGGAGUGCAGGAAGCAUGGAUCUCUAGACCUUGGGUUCCUUCCCAUUUUUAUAAAUAUGCAUUCUUAAACUGGAUUUCCUUCUCUUUUGCAUUCAUUGGAGCUGUGAUCAGAAGAACUAA